This 22-nucleotide unclassified non-coding RNA is filed under the name Mus musculus (house mouse). RNAcentral's name for it is "oocyte_clustered_small_RNA11572". Lineage: Eukaryota; Metazoa; Chordata; Mammalia; Rodentia; Muridae. The record is from RNAcentral.
UUGGGGCAUUGCAAGGAGCAGG